GACAGAGGAGGCGAGCGUUAUCCGGAGUUAUUGGGCGUAAAGGGUACGUAGGCGGCUGGUCAAGUCUGGGGUUAAAGACCACAGCUUAACUGUGGGGGGGGCGUGGAAACUGACCGGCUGGAGUGGGGCAGGGGUUGCGGGAAUUCCCGGUGUAGCGGUGAAAUGCGUAGAUAUCGGGAAGAACACCUGAGGCGAAAGCGCGCAACUGGGCCCUAACUGACGCUGAGGUGCGAAAGCGAGGGGAGGGAAUGGG
This 253-nucleotide ribosomal RNA is filed under the name uncultured bacterium. RNAcentral's name for it is "partial 16S ribosomal RNA". It matches the Rfam family "Bacterial small subunit ribosomal RNA", at positions 524 to 776 of the family's 1533-position model. The record is from RNAcentral.